This is a long non-coding RNA of Physeter macrocephalus (sperm whale), 5878 nucleotides long. RefSeq lists it as uncharacterized. NCBI's taxonomy places the organism in Eukaryota, Metazoa, Chordata, Mammalia, Artiodactyla, Physeteridae. The record is from RefSeq and is a predicted model, not a curated record. The transcript has 7 exons.
CUCACUGUUGUGGCCUCUUCCGUUGCGGAGCACAGUUUCCGGACGCGCAGGCUCAGCGGCCAUGGCUCACGGGCCCGGCCGCUCCGCGGCAUGUGGGAUCUUCCCAGACCGGGACAUGAACCCGUAUCCCCUGCAUCGGCAGGCGGACUCUCAACCACUGUGCCACCAGCGAAGCCCCCUUUCCUUCCUUUUUAAGGCUGAAUAAUAUUCCAUUGUAUGUAGAGACCACAUUUUGUUUAUCCAUUCAUCCAUCAAUGGACACUUGAGUAGCUUCUACCUUUUGGCUAUCGUGAAUAGUACUGCCACGCACAUGGGUGGACAAAUAUCCCUUUAAGACCCUGCGUUCAUUUGUUUCGAGGAUAAGUGGAAUUGUUGGAUCCUAUGGCAAUUCUAUAUUUAAUUUUUUGAGCAACCACCAUACUAUUUUCCAUAGUGGCACACCAUUUUGCAUAUUUUAUCUACUUUGAAGUUGAAAACUUGAGGUUCAGAAGUAUCAAGUAGCUUGCUAAUGUGUAAAAUGUGGUAGAGAAAAAUUUCAAGUAUGUCUAUUGAAUUAGUUUCCUAGGGCUGCCAUAAGAAAUUACCGCAAACUGGGUGGCUUAAAACAGAAAUUUAUUCUCUCAAUAUUCUGGAGGUUAGAAGUCUGAAAUCAACAUGUCAGCAGGGCCCUGCUCCCUCUAAAACUCUGGGUAGGAGUCUUCCUUUUCCUAGUGCUUGGUGGUGUCCAUCAAUCCUGCAGCUGUGUCACUCCAAUCUCUGGCAUUCUCCUGGGGUGUCCUUCUCCUCAUUUAUAAGGACACCAGUCAUGUUGGAUUAAUGGUCCUCCCUCUUGCAACAUGACCUCAUCUUAACUUACAUCUUAGUUACAUCUGCAAAUACUAUUUCCACAUCAGGUCACAUUCCCAGGUACCAGGUGUUAGGACUUCAACAUAACACCUUUCGGGGGUACAUAACUUAAUCCAUAAUAUCUGUCUUCCUCCAAAUUCUGUGAUAUUUACCAUACUUUUGACCUCUUAAUGUGAUAAACUACUAGACUUCCCAAUAGAAAGCCAUGCUUGCAUUUAUGGGACAGAACUUAUUUGCUAUUAGUGGAUUAUUAGACUAUAAGCUUGGAGGAAGGCAGACACAAUAGACUUCUUUCAUUCAUCCCUUUGCCUCCAGUCAUUAUACAAAAACAAAAAACAGUAUUGGAAAAGUGGUAUAGCUUUUCCAGUGCCUUUAUGGGGAAAAAUCAUUUGAACAGUUGCUUGGGGAAUUAUUUAGGUGGUAGUUUUUGUUGUUCCUUUCUCAAUUUCCUGCCAAUCAGGCUGUUGUUGACAUCUCUUGGACACACCCACCAGCAUAGUGCCCCAUAGAGCGGAAGCGCUUAUUUACCAUGUAUUGAAUGAAUGAAUGAAUGAAUGAAUGAAUAGAAGGUUCAUUGGCUCAGCACUGCCCCUGCCCCCGUUUUGCUACUACUGUUGUGUCUUGAUGACCAGUGGCUCCAAGUGGCUCGUGGCUCCUCCUCCCCCUAAAGCCUCCUUAAGCCCCCUGUGUCCACUCUUGAAAGAGCCUUGGUCCAGGCAGACCUAAUCACCAGCCUACUCCUGCCUGGGUAGGUCCGCAAUACAUCCCCUUCUGGCAAAAGACCCACUUGAAACAUCCAUCCCUUCUGGAGCUUGCAGAGAGUGCACUGCAGUUUUGUUUUUAACGUCUGCAGACACAUUGCUGACUGACAAAUAAGGACAAGCCACUGAGCAUGGACUGUUGUCUGAACGCCAAGAGCAAAGGUUGUCGUAACACAUUUAUUUCAAGACCUCAGCAUGCUGCCCUGUUUGCUGGAAUCUCCAGUUAGGUAGGCUAGUGUUGUAGAUGGGAAAGUCAUCUGAGAUUAGCACGCAGUGCCUCGUGCAAACGCCAACCUCCCCCCGUCACCCCCACUGAUGGAAUACCUUAAUAACUGGCCAUUUAGGAUAAGUUAAGGAAAAGACUUGGGCAUUUAGCCAGGAGUGUUGGUGACAGAAACCUAACUUAUGCUAAAAAAAAAAAAGAAUUACAUUCUUAGAAAGCUUAUGUAACCGAACAAAAGGAAAUGUAGAGGUGGAACUGGGCUUCCAAGAUGACAAACACCAGGGACUGAAAUUUCACCAGUAAUCUCUGUCCUGCAUCCCCCCCUCUCUCUGUGUGUGGAUUUCUGACUUUACAUUUACUCCGUUUCUUGUAUAUGGGGUGGGGGGGGACAUACGCUACAUUUGCCCUGAAGUACAUCUCCAUACGUCUUCCACUGUAGGUAGGCAGGAUUGCCACAUAUGGUUGUGCAGGUUGUGUACUGCCCAACUCAUGGACGUGCCAUUCACAUCACAGACUCUGGCUGAAAAGCAGAGAUGUUAGGGAUACUUGGCUGAACAUAGAAAACACUUGAUGUUUUCCUAGCACAUCCUUCUCUCGUCCAGCAGAGUCACCCUACGUUCUACCAUCCUGAAGGGAGGGGUUCAAAAAUCUCCAUUCUAAUCCUUAAAUGGUGGGCCCUUCUAAUGAAGACUCUUGGGAAUAUCUUUAAAGGGCAACACUUUGGGGAAAUUUUCCCACCAGCUUCAUGAGGACAAGCAGAAGAUAAUUAAACCUGUGACAGUGUAACCCGUGCAGGUCCAUUAGAAUAAGAGAAAGGUUUGCAAGAAGUAGAGGGGCCUUCUGAGAAAUGCAGCCCUUAAUGCCACAAUCUUGGAACUCUCAAUCCUCAAAGUUAUUUUCCAGGCCAAAGGAUAGGCCCUUCUACCUUUUCACAGCUGUGGGAGGAGUCACCCAUCUCAGAGGUCUCUCAUCUCACGGGUGGGUUGGGAGGUGUUGAGCGUGCCUAGGUGCAUAGGUGUUAAGCAUGCAUAGACUUCAGAGUCUCUGUGGUUUGCCCUGCUUGGGAUGCUUGGCCAAGACCCAGCUCCUUCCUGGAUGAGCUCACUUGGCAGGCCCUACCCAGUGAUGCAGUGGGCGGAGGGUGGGCAGCAACAGUGAAAGGAAGAGGAGUCUGAAGGUGAUCGAAUCUGAGCUGGGUCCUCUGUUAAUCUGUCAUCACUGACCAAGGCUGCUUCCGCCUGAAACUUACCAAUAUACUUUUACGAUGUUUAGGUCUACAUUACUGAAUAAAUUAACCUGUAAUUUACUUUUCUUUCAUUAACCUUUUCUAAUUUGGGGAUUAUGUGAACUGACAACUGUUCUCUCUUUAUAAUCUGGGAGACUGUGUAAGUCUACAAAUCUUUGUAGAAUUUACCUAUUAAGACACCUGGGGGCUUCCCUGGUGGCGCAGUGGUUAAGAAUCCUCCUGCCAAUGCAGGGGACACGGGUUCGAACCCUGGUCCGGGAGGAUCCCACAUGCCGCGGAGCAACUAAGCCCGCGCGCCACAACUACUGAGCCCGUGCUCUAGAGCCCGCGAACCACAACUACUGAGCCUGCGUGCUGCAACUACUGAAGCCCGCGCGUUGCAACUACUGAAGCCUGCGCACCUAGAGCCUGUACUCUGCAACAAGAGAAGCCACCGCGAUGAGAAGCCCGCGCACCGCAAUGAAGAGUAGCCCCUGCUCGCCGCAACUAGAGAAAGCCCGCGUGCACCAACGAAGACCCAAUGCAGCCAAAAAAAUUAAUCGAUAAAAUAAAUAAAUAUUUUUAAAAAUAACAAACAAAUAAAUAAAUAAAUUUAUAUAUAAAAAAAAGACACCUGGGUAUGAUGUUUUCUGUGUGGGAAGAUCGUUAACUGAUUCAAUUUGUUUAAGUGUUAUGAAAUUAUUUAGGUUUUCUAUUUUUCCUUAAGGCAAUUCUGUUAAAUAUAUUCCAGGAAUGUGUUCAUUUUACCUAAAUUUAAAAUUUUAUGGGCAAAAAGUCAAACACAUUGUUCUCUAACUUUUUACCCUCUGCUGACUGUACAAAGCCCCUUUUCCCAUUCCUAAAGUUGUUUGGCUAUGUUGCUCUAAAUAUGGUUAUGCUCAUUUUCUGCCAUUUUGGUUUCUAUUCAUUGUUUUAUUGAUUUUACUUUAUUUGGAUCAUUUCAGUUGUCCUUUUCCUCAUUUUUUUAAGCCCUCAGGUACCAAGAGCAGACUGAGACACAUGGACGUUUUCUUACAUUUCAGAAUCAAGUGAGUGCCUCUCCCAUUGCAACAAUGAGAAUUUCUUUCUUCUCUUGUAACAUUUAAAGAUUCAUCUAUUACAGGCCAUGCAAUGAGAUGCCCUAUCCAGUUUCUAACUUCUUCACAUCCCAACACAUGUAUCCACUCCCCCAUCCCUUCCCCCACAUCAGCUUGCGCGUCUUCCUUUUCCUCCCUUUUCUGAACAUCUUCCCAUUCCCCCUUUCUGUUUGAGUCCUCAAAACCCGGCUAAGGUACACCACCUACAAGAAACCACCUUAGUUUGGAAAUUGAUUGAAGUAUGAGUCCACUCAUAGCUCCACAACUAGCCUCCAAGCUCCUUUAGGAUCCCUGCUCUCUCACACUCGAGAUACAUAAUUAAGGAAGAAAGUAUAAUUUUCCCAGCUUGGGUCCCACGCCCAACCAUUUCUCAGGAGAGGGCAGGACACCAUAAUUGAUAUUCCCAACAAGACUGAAUUCAACAGGAAAAGUGAAUGCCACAAGAAAAUCAGGGAGAAGGAGUAGACAGGUCAAAACUACAGAUGUCCUAGCCAUUUAAUAUUCAGAUGGGUGGUUGGGAAGAGGAAAGGAUGCUUGGAGACUUGGCAGGUCAGAGUUUCAGUUCUCAUCCACAAGGGGGCGCAAGGAACCGCUUGCGCGGGUUCCGCCCUGGGAGCUGCCGCUCUAGGCUGCAUCCCGCACCUCAACUGCAUUUCCGCUGGCGCUCAACCGCUGGAAGCCGAGUCCUGCGUCCUAGUCGCCGGGAACCGUGCAGCGUUUUCUCACGUCGUCCCCUAUGACCUGCAGCCGACAGUCCCGGCGCGCUGGGCUCAGUGCCUGGCAGGUGUCCGGUGCUCAGCAACUGUGGAACAACUGCCCAGCAGGAAAGAAGGAAAGGACAGACGCAUCCCGGUAGGUGGCGUGGCCCAUCAUGUCAUGGAGAAUCAGGGAAAGACUGCUUGUCCCUUGGCAAGAGAUGGAGCCCAGUCCACCAGGGGAGACUUUCCCCAUGGCCUGCGGUUAUGGUGGCAGGAACCAGAGCAGUAUUGUAAUUGGACAAGACUUAAAUAGACCCCAGACCUCACCUCCGCAGAGGAGACCCUUGAGAGGCGUCCCCAUCCUGUCAAGAAGCGGCUGGACCACGUGCUACUGAGAUGAGUCCACUGUGUGCAGAGGUGUCAUGGAAGUUGUCUUGUCAGGAGUGGUCUAGACCCCAGUGUCCUUGAGCUUGAAGGAAGACGAGGUGACGUUGGAGAGUUAUCCCUGGUCCUGACCUCCUGCCCCGUGGCCUCCUCAUCACUCUGGGGUGCUGCCUUGGAGGAAGCCUCAAGGGAUGGAAGCUCUGGCCUCUCAGGAUGGUGACCUGGGUCCCAGCUCUCCUGGAGGGGCCUCCUCAUGGUUGUUUUGGGGCUGUUCACGGCUGCUGGCGCAGCAGAGUGAAGAGGGACGUUGCCGCUGAUCGUCACCAGGCCUUCUCCUCCUGUUGCCUUAGCACAGUGUGGAAGGACUCUGCCCCCGUGAGGGGGGCAGAGGGAAAGUCCUGGGACUCUGGGGGCUUGGGAUUCAGAACCGGGGACCUUCAGCGGGCUCUGCCCUUCCCAGCAGGUGCCACAGAGCACCGUGGACCCAGAAGUCUGCUUUCCUUCCGUCUGGACCAGGUCAUCCAGUGGCCUCUGUGUGCCCUUGUCUGCUCCUGGUGUAACUUUUUAGAAACAAGGGUUCCCGUUGGAGUCUUCUGUGCUGGGCAUCGUGUCCUCUCACCCACUUCAAUAAAUCUUGAAACUGC